GUUAAAACAUUGGUUCCUGUACGAUCACCGAAGUUAAGCAACGUCGAGGCUGCUAAAUACCUCGAUGGGUGACCACUUCGGAAUAUCAGGUGUUGUAAGC
Non-coding RNA from Acanthosepion pharaonis, 100 nucleotides. NCBI's taxonomy places the organism in Eukaryota, Metazoa, Mollusca, Cephalopoda, Sepiida, Sepiidae. The record is from the annotation of a GenBank genome assembly.